Molecule: non-coding RNA, 96 nt
Organism: Mycena polygramma
Lineage: Eukaryota; Fungi; Basidiomycota; Agaricomycetes; Agaricales; Mycenaceae
Source: the annotation of a GenBank genome assembly
GGACUAGUAGCGUAACGGUUAACGCGCCACUCAGAAAUCGGAUGGCUUCCGCUAGCAUUUCUUGUGGAGAUCCUCGUUCGAUUCGAGGCUAGUGCA